Podarcis lilfordi (Lilford's wall lizard) is the source of this 6414-nucleotide non-coding RNA. The record is from the annotation of a GenBank genome assembly. NCBI's taxonomy places the organism in Eukaryota, Metazoa, Chordata, Lepidosauria, Squamata, Lacertidae.
AUCAUGUCUAUAGCCUUUAAAUAUCUCCAUGUAAGACUCUACCAGCAUCAGUUCUCUGCCUUGGUACAUCUCUGCUCUGAGUCGCCAAAUCUUUCAAGAAUGGAGAAAGCACUUCUGAGCACCUGCCUCCUCUUGGCCCUGCUUUCUCCAGGUAAGUAGAAACAAGCAGAAUUGGAUUCUUUUAAUCAUCUUUCAAUGGCACUGAAAAUAUUUACUCCUGGGGAUGGAAGGAGAGUGAGUAAAAUAUAUGAGCAUAAUGGAGUGUAAGGACACCUGUGUUACAAGGAAAGUAGGAGAGAGUCAACUCAAAGGUUUAAGCACUUAAGCCAUAACAGCCAAAUAUAGUCUGUUCCAAACAUGUAUUUAUGUGAUGGAGGAAUCUGACUAACCAUAAUAUGGCUGCCCUGUUUAGGGAAGCUUUUAAUGUUUGAUGCAUUACUGUAUUUUAAUAUUGUGUUGGAAGCCGCCCAGAGUGGCUGGGGAAACCCAGCCAAAUGGGCAGGGUAUGUAUGUAUGUAUGUAUAUAUAUAUAUAUAUAUAUAUAUAUAUAUAUAUAUAUAUAAAUAAAUUAUUAUUAUUAUUAUUAUUAUUAUUAUAUAAGUAUAUAAGGUCAAUGCAGAGGUCAGGUCUGGAAAAGAGUAGUAAUCUGAACUGAGUGCAAGCAGCUCUUGCGUUAUUGGUUGGCCGCCUGGAUACUGUACAAAUAAGAACUGUUGAUAUUACUGAUGGGAAAGGGUUUAGCUUCAAAAAAUGUUUUAUUCAAUACCACAGAGCAUUUUAGUAAGCACUUUGCUACCAAAUAUCUUUAGGACACGUUCAUUCAGCUGCCCUCCCUUAUUGUGAUAGAACUUCAUCAAUUCCACUAUGGUUUUCUGUGUUUGAAUUUCAUUGUGUCCAUUUGACACUUCCAAGAUGGGUUUAACCAAACAGGAUACAUAGGGAUUUCAUGAGUAAGUUUGUUCUAUAGCUUGCUGAUCUAAACUCCAUUUAUACCUAGGACUGCUUUUGCCAAAACUCUUGUUGUUGUUGUUGUUGAGCUGUUUAGUCGUGUCCAACUCUUCAUGACCCCAUGAACCAGAGCACGCCAGGCACUCCUGUCUUCCACUGCCUCCCGCAGUUUGGUCAAACUCAUGCUGGUAGCUUGGAGAACACUGUCUAACCAUCUCGUCCUCUGUCGUCCCCUUCUCCUUGUGCCCUCAAUCUUUCCCAACAUCAGGGUCUUUUCCAGGGAGUCUUCUCUUCUCAUGAGGUGGCCAAAGUAUUGGAGCCUCAGCUUCAGGAUCUGUCCUUCCAGUGAGCACUCAGGGCUGAUUUCCUUAAGAAUGGAGAGGUUUGAUGUUCUUGCAGUCCAUGCCAUGGCGAAGGGACUUGAAUAACUCAGAGAAGCUAUGAGCUAUGCCGUGCAAGGCCACCCAAGAUGGACAGGUCAUAGUGGAGAGUUUUGACCAAACGUGAUCCACCUGGAGCAGGAUCCGGCAAGCCACUCCAGUAUCCCUGCCAAGAAAACUCCAUGGACAAAGACAACAGCCAAAAUCUUAAUCUUGCUUAAUCUUUCUCUUAGAGUAAUUUAUAGAUAGGUUUUCUUAUUGACAGUAUGUACUGAACACCUCCAAAUAAUUUUUGAGGCCCCAUUGUGAAAGAGAGAAGAGCACAAAAUUUACUUAUUUAUUUAUUACUUAUUAAUUUGUAUACCGCCCUUCAUUCAAAAAUCACAGGGCAGUUCACUACAUAAAACAAUCAACACGCAUCAAGAUUCUGUUCCUAAUUACUGGGAUGGGAAUGUUGCAUUGGCACCCAGUCAUUACUAUCAAAGUGACAGCCUUCCAGUUUAAAACAUAUUUACCCGCUUGUCUGCCACCUCCUUAGGAAGAAGGACACCUUCUCCCACUUUAAAGUAUUUUGGCUUGUUUGUAAAACAGCACUAGGGUGAUCAACAUGCAUUUGCCUUCAUAAAUUUAAUGUAUAAAUCUGAAAUAUAUUUGAUAUACCAUAUUUUUCGCCCUAUAGGGCUCACUGGCCCAUAGGGCGCACCUAGUUUUCGGGGGGCGGGAAUCAAGGAAAAAAAUAUGAUUCCCCCCCCCCCCCCGCAGCUCUGGGAGCAGCUUACAGGCCGCACGCAGCCUGUGCGCUACUCCAAGACCUUCUCCCUGCUUUUGCAGGAGGUGGCGGAAUUCCCGCAUCUCCCGCAAAAGCCCACAGGAGGGAGAAGGGACUGACUCGGCCAGUCAGUCCCUUCUCCCUCCUUGGGAAAAAGUCCCCAAGUGCGGCAUGCUCUUUAAAGGCUGCGCGGAUCCUGCGGGCUUUUCGACCCAGCUUGUGGGGCUGGCGCUGGGGGGAAGCGCUGCUUUCCCCCACCGACAGCCUCCAAACCAGGUCAGAGAGUAGCGGGAAGGCAUCACAUGCCUUCCCGCUGCCCCCCCGAUACUCUGGGGCUGGCACUUCCCCCACCGACAGCCGCAAAGAGCAGACUCUCCUGGCUUCAGCGAAAGCAACGCGAAGCCUCCAGAGCGCAGGCUUCGGAGGCUUCAUAUUGCUAUCGCUGAAGCCAAGGAGCCUGCACUCGCCCCAUAGGACGCACACACAUUUCCCUUUCAUUUUUGGAGGGGAAAAAGUGCGUCCUAUAGGGCGAAAAAUACGGUACUUGCAUGUGGGGUUCUCAUGUUUUAUAUCGACUUACUUUCCAUCUCCAUCCAAUGUACCAUUAAGCUCAUUACCAUCUCAGGAAAUCUGCACCAACCUCUAUCUCCUUUAUACAGUGACAUCUCUGGAAUGUUCCGACUGUCAUAGUAGGGCAACUUCAUGCGAAAACGAUGGAUCUACGAUCUGUUACUCUAAUAAAAUCUGUGUUUCUGGUGUUCUGGAUAACAAUAUAGGUGAGCUGAAACUUUUCAAUUACUCUUGUUCACCCCAUGUUCAUGUGUAAAUUAAUAUAAUUUUUUAAAUUAUAACUUGCAUUUAAAUACCAGCUUUUUUCUAAAGAGCACAAUGUGCUGUACAUGGUUUUUGGUACCAGUCGCAGUGCCACCCUCCUCUGUGUGAGGUGUGAUUUAAUGAACUCACACAGAAAAUGAUCUAGAUUAAAAAUGGCCGCAACUUUAUUGAUUACAGGUGUAGGUAGAAUUUUGGCUCAGGCAUUGGUUGUAAAUCCAUUCCAAUCUCCUGCUGGAGGGCUGAAAUCGCUUCAGGGUCAUGUCAUGAAAUAUGGCCUCUCACAAGGCGUCAGUCUACCCAGAUUGAAUUGACUUGCUGGGAAUUGCUGGGACUUCCAUCGAGACCCUUCUAAUGGGGUACCCUGAUUAUGCUGCUGGUUCAGGGCAGUGUGAUUAGGUUCAUCUAUUGAUUCAGGAACUUUGCAUUAUGUAGUUUCACAUUGAAGAGUAAACAAUUUAGUUAAUGGGAAGCAUCAUUAAAAAUAAAUACAUUUCGAGGGAAUUAAUCAGAAUUCUCACAGAUCUUGUGAUUUGUUUCCUUUUGUUCUUUGCAGAAUCAAAGUAUAAAGUGGCAACUUUCCAGGGAUGUAGUAAGUCCGAACGUUGCCACUCAGGUGAUUACAGUUUAACUUCAGCCAAUGGUAAAUACCUCCAGAUGAAGGUCUUCUGCUGCGGAACAGAAGAUUGUAAUAAGGAACCUCUCUAUGGUGAGUAUCUGCAUCUCUGUAAGUUGGCUUAUUAACACGUCAUAUAACUUCCAUCCAGUUACAGGCAAAGGAGAGCAUCUUUGUCUUUCAGUCCAUUCAGACACUAGGUGCAAGGGUCUGAUAAGUAUCUACAACUGAUCCUUGAAUCAUUCAAGUUACAAGAAAGGAGAUUCCAAUUAAACUUCAGGUAAAACUUUCUGACAUUAAGAGCUGCUUUACAGUGGAAUGGUCUCAAUCAGGACAGUGUGGAAUCACCUUAUUGGAGGUUUUGAAGCAGAUUGGAUGGCCAUCUGUUCUGGAUGCUUUAGCUGGGUAUCCUGCAUUACAGGGGGUGGACUAGAUGACCCUUAGGGUCCCUUCCAGCUCAACAGUUCCAUGAUUCUACGAUGAAUCUGGAAUGGAUGAAGUAGAUGAUCAGUCAAACUUCACACAUGUAAGGGCUGGGGCUGGAGGCAUGGAUGUGGAAAUUCUGGGCAUAGCUCUACCAAAUUUGGGUUCUGGGUCUGCCGACUACUUGCUUGCACCCAUAGACAGAGAUGAGAUUACUUCUAAGAGAAUGCAGCUGACUGUAGCUUCAAAUAGCUUGCUAGAUCACCAUAUACAGUGGUACCUUGGUUUAAGAACUUAAUUCAUUCUGGAGGUCCGUUCUUAAGCUGAGGUACCACUUUAGUGAAUGGGGCCUCCCACUGCCGUCACGCCUCUGGAGCACGAUUUCUGUUCUCAUCCUGAAGCAAAGUUCUUAACCCGAGGUACUAUUUCUGGGUUAGCGGAGUCUGUAACCUGAGGUGUCUGGAACCUAAAGCGUCUGUAACCCGAGGUACCACUGUACAAAGUAAGAACUCCAGAAAAAAGAAUGAAAAUGAGCAUACCUGACAAAAGGUGUAACACAAAAUCAUUAUUUAUGGACGCUCAGCAGAUGUUACUAUUCUGCAAAGCUGAUGGCAAAUAUAGAGUACAAUAUGGAGAUAGCACUUCCAGCUUUGGUUAGAAGUUACUAGAAACCAUGAAAUAAAUGAAAUAAAGUUAACAACAAAGAGAAGGGGGGAUGAAGUGCAUCCAUAUACUGACUGUAGGUUUUUACUUUGAUAGUUCCACCUCGUGAGGAUCUUUCCCCCAAUGGUUUAGAGUGCCCAGCCUGCUUUGACCUCACCUAUUUGUGAUUUAAUUUCAAUUGCGAAAGUAAGGGGACUGUCAGCUGCCUUGGCAAUGAGACCAAGUGCAUUGACUAUACUUCCCUGGCUUCAUGUGAGUAUUAUUUCCAAUCAGCCAAGAAAAUCUGCUCCUCUGUCUCUUUGUCACUGCCAAAAAAGCAAUGACUAAUCUUUGUUUGCUUUUUAUAUGUGUUAUGUGUAUAUAGCUUUGAUUUCUUUCUCUGAGGAAAAGGAGGAUGCUCUAGUCCUGUUUUGUGUUCCAAUCUACCCCCGCUAAAAUUAUGUAAGAACUAGAGGGGACAGACUCACUCAUGGGCAGGGUUUUGCAUUGUGUGGGGUGUUUACGAAGGUACAGUAGGCUCCUCAAGGGAUACAAGGGAGGGUGUAGGACCAGAUAGCACUGUCCUGCCUUGCAUUUCUGAAGUACAGAAAGCAUUGGUUUAAUGUGUAGAAAUCAUUUAUAGUCUGGCUUCUAGUAGAAGGUUUUGGUAAUUUCUACGUAUUUCUAAUACAAGCUAGUGCAAGCUUGGAUUUUCCAGCUGACAAGUAAGUUUCUAUUCUGUUUUGGGUUCCAAUCUACACCUGUUAUAAUUAGGUAAGAACUAGAGGGGACAGACUCACUCAGGGACAGGGUUUUGCAUUGUGCGGGGAACAUAAACAAGUACAACAGGCUCCUUACAGCACACCCUUUCCCUCUAAUGCACAAGGGGCAUCAGGGCAGAGGGAUACAAGGGAAGGUGCAGAACCAGCCGGCACAUGACUGCUCCUCCGCACAGCAGUAUGAACCAUUGAGUGCUGGUCCAGGAGGACUGUGUCUUACCACACACCUUGGCCAAAAGUUUUUUUAAAAGGAGGCUGGGAGAAAGAAACAUUCUGCCAGUGCACAACUAUUCAUUUUUCCUCAGAAAUUAGUUGCUUUGAGUUCUUGGAUCCUGAUGCCAGCACAGCUUCCUGUUGGUGCCGCUCAGCUGAUUUGCAUUGACAGCAACAAGGAGUUCAGCCUAUUGACUGUGACUGCAAGCCCUGCUUCUCAAGCAGCAAUUCAGAGUGGCUUUCAAGGCUCCCGGUUGUUCUGCAGCAGCAGCAGAUCUACCUGACACAUAUCAUAUGUGAUGUGUUGUUGGUGUAAGGCAAUUGGGUAUAGCUUUGGUAAAAGCGACAAAUUUAGCCACCUGCUGGGCUUCAUUGGCUAACAGGUUAAGGUUCCUAAGGCAUGCACUAGUGAUAGUUUGCUGACAGAUUAAUCAUACCAUGUGUUGGUUCCAAACACAUUAAGCUUUUAUAAUCAUGUUCUUCCCUAUCCCCAAGGACCUAAUAAAGAACUCAUGCAAAUCUUAUGCUUUUUAUUUCCCAGAUUCAGUAAUUAAGAAAUUGAAACUCAAAGGCUGUGCAACUGAAGACGUCUGUGCCCUUAAUGGAAAAAAGAUUACACUUGGCCGUUUUAAUUUGGAUAAGAUUGUAACCCAAUGCUCUGAUGCCACAAAGCAGAUUGAGCUCGAAGGGUAGGUAGGAGAGAGGAAAGAUCUCCUCCUUGUCAAUUCACCGUUCAUGGUACCAGCAGAAUAUAUUAACAGCUUAUGGUGAGAGGAGGGGCUCACGCCUCCUGGGUUUUCUUUUUCACUAUAG